AACGAACGCUGGCGGCAUGCCUAACACAUGCAAGUCGAACGAGACCUUCGGGUCUAGUUGCGCACGUGUGCGUAACGCGUGGGAACCUGCCCUUAGGUUCGGAAUAACUCCCCGAAAGGGGUGCUAAUACCGGAUAAUGUCUUCGGACCAAAGAUUUAUCGCCUUUGGAUGGGCCCGCGUUGGAUUAGCUAGUUGGUAGGGUAAAAGCCUACCAAGGCGACGAUCCAUAGCUGGUCUGAGAGGAUGAUCAGCCACACUGGGACUGAGACACGGCCCAGAAUCCUACGGGAGGCAGCAGUGGGGAAUAUUGGACAAGGGGCGAAAGCCUGAUCCAGCAAUGCCGGGUGAGUGAUGAAGGCCUUAGGGUUGUAAAGCUCUUUUACCCGGGAUGAUAAUGACAGUACCGGGAGAAUAAGCUCCGGCUAACUCCGUG
Molecule: ribosomal RNA, 433 nt
Filed under: uncultured bacterium
Lineage: Bacteria
Description: partial 16S ribosomal RNA
Rfam family: Bacterial small subunit ribosomal RNA
Source: RNAcentral